AGACGUUGAGAUAAAGUGACCAAAGAUUUCGCUCAUCAGACACCAUUAAAAGGUGUUAAUUCAUAUCGACAGUAGGACGGUGGCCAUGGAAGUCGGAAUCCGCUAAGGAGUGUGUAACAACUCACCUACGAAUGAAUUAGCCCUGAAAAUGGAUGGCGCUUAAGCGAUACACUUAUACUCAACCAUAAAUAAUUUGUGCAGUUAUUUAUGGAGUAGGAGGGCGUAAAGAUUGAUUAGAAGCUUUACUGUGAGGUAUAGUGAAUCUUUCUUUAGUGCAGAUCUUGGUGGUAGUAGCAAAUAUUCAAUAGAGAACAUUGAAGACUGAAGUGGAGAAGGGUUUCAUGGCAAUAUCAAUUAGCCAUGAGUUAGUCGAUCCUGAACGGAGGGUUAAUUCCUUAAAACACUAAGUAAUUAGUGAUACCGUGAAAGGGAAGUAGGUUAAUAUUCCUACACCGGGUUAAGGGGGAUUUUAGUGAGGUAACUCAAAUGAUCUCAGAGAUGCC
Molecule: ribosomal RNA, 503 nt
Filed under: uncultured eukaryote
Lineage: Eukaryota
Description: eukaryotic LSU rRNA
Rfam family: Eukaryotic large subunit ribosomal RNA
Source: RNAcentral